UACGUAGGGUGCAAGCGUUAAUCGGAAUUACUGGGCGUAAAGCGUGCGCAGGCGGUGAUGUAAGUCAGUUGUGAAAUCCCCGGGCUCAGCCUGGGAACUGCAUCUGUGACUGCAUCGCUGGAGUGCGGCAGAGGGGGAUGGAAUUCCGCGUGUAGCAGUGAAAUGCGUAGAUAUGCGGAGGAACACCGAUGGCGAAGGCAAUCCCCUGGGCCUGCACUGACGCUCGUGCACGAAAGCGUGGGGAGCAAACAGG
This 253-nucleotide ribosomal RNA is filed under the name uncultured bacterium. RNAcentral describes it as "partial 16S ribosomal RNA". It matches the Rfam family "Bacterial small subunit ribosomal RNA", at positions 524 to 776 of the family's 1533-position model. The record is from RNAcentral.